RNAcentral lists this ribosomal RNA (463 nucleotides) under uncultured bacterium. Its description in RNAcentral is "partial 16S ribosomal RNA". It matches the Rfam family "Bacterial small subunit ribosomal RNA", at positions 30 to 507 of the family's 1533-position model. The record is from RNAcentral.
CGAACGCUGGCGGCGUGCUUAACACAUGCAAGUCGUACGGUAAGGCCCUUUCGGGGGUACACGAGUGGCGAACGGGUGAGUAACACGUGAGUAACCUGCCCACAACUUUGGGAUAACGCUAGGAAACUGGUGCUAAUACUGGAUAUGUGCUCCUGCUGCAUGGUGGGGGUUGGAAAGCUCCGGCGGUUGUGGAUGGACUCGCGGCCUAUCAGCUUGUUGGUGGGGUAGUGGCCUACCAAGGCGGCGACGGGUAGCCGGCCUGAGAGGGUGACCGGCCACAUUGGGACUGAGAUACGGCCCAGACUCCUACGGGAGGCAGCAGUGGGGAAGAUUGCACAAUGGGCGCAAGCCUGAUGCAGCAACGCCGCGUGCGGGAUGACGGCCUUCGGGUUGUAAACCGCUUUCAGCAGGGACGAAGCUUUUUGUGACGGUACCUACAGAAGAAGCACCGGCUAACUACGUG